RNAcentral lists this ribosomal RNA (688 nucleotides) under uncultured Actinomycetes bacterium. RNAcentral's name for it is "bacterial SSU rRNA". It matches the Rfam family "Bacterial small subunit ribosomal RNA", at positions 63 to 763 of the family's 1533-position model. The record is from RNAcentral. Lineage: Bacteria; Bacillati; Actinomycetota; Actinomycetes.
CGCCCUCCAUUCGGUAGCAAUACCGAUGAAGAGGGAGUGGCGAACGGGUGAGUAGCACGUGAGCAACCUGCCCCGAAGACUGGGACAACACCGGGAAACCGGUGCUAAUACCGGAUAUCCCUAUCGGACCGCAUGAUCUGAUAAGGAAAUGGAUUCCGCUUCGGGAGGGGCUCGCGGCCUAUCAGCUAGUUGGUGAGGUAAUAGCUCACCAAGGCAUCGACGGGUAGCUGGUCUGAGAGGACGAUCAGCCACACUGGGACUGAGACACGGCCCAGACUCCUACGGGAGGCAGCAGUGGGGAAUCUUGCGCAAUGGGCGAAAGCCUGACGCAGCAACGCCGCGUGGAGGACGAAGGCUUUCUGAGUUGUAAACUCCUUUCAGCAGGGACGAUUGUGACGGUACCUGCAGAAGAAGCACCGGCCAACUACGUGCCAGCAGCCGCGGUGAUACGUAGGGUGCAAGCGUUGUCCGGAUUUAUUGGGCGUAAAGAGCUCGUAGGCGGUUUGAUUAGUCGGGUGUGAAACCUCCAGGCUUAACCUGGAGCCGCCACUCGAUACUGUCAUGACUAGAAUUCGGUAGGGGACCACGGAAUUCCUGGUGUAGCGGUGAAAUGCGCAGAUAUCAGGAGGAACACCAGCAGCGAAGGCGGUGGUCUGGGCCGACAUUGACGCUGUGGAGCGAAAGCGUG